GCCCCUUUGUGUGACUAAAUUUGGCAAGAAUAUGGAUCCGAGCCAGUCUUUCCACGUGUGCUCCCAGCUCCCAGCUGAGAAGGCCAAGGGUUCUCUUCCGGGUAAGGAGACAGGGAGAAAGAUCAAAGAGUUUGGGGAGCUGGAUCUGAAAUGUGAAUUGAAAAUAAAAAUCAAGCCUGGACACAUUCCAGUUUCUAAAGCAAAACCAACCCUCAGCAGAGGCCGUCGCGCUAUGACUCCCCUUCUCCCUCCACUCCUUUUUACUCUUCUCUCCCUUUCUUUCCCCGCAACCGUUCUUGAGCACGUGGAAUAAAAUAAAGAGGACAUAGGGAAACAUUUAGUUCCUCCAGAUUUUGUCUUGCAGUAAUUUUUAUUAGGGAAAAUAUCUUGUUCAUAAUUACUGUUAUGUGAAGCCGAAUUUCUUGAGCCAUAAAUAUUGUCUUAUUGGCAGUAUGCUUCACACUUUCUUCUGUGGCCACAUUGGGAAGAGAACGUUGACAACACCUGUGUACAUGUUCAUCGUGCAUGGUGCUUCUCUUGCUACACACGAUAUGAUGCACUACAUAGUUUUUUUCCCCACAGAAGUUAGAUCCUGCAAAAACAAUGCUAAUAUUUUUUUUUUAUCAGAGCACUAUCUAUCUGGGGUCUAUGGUUUGAAAUCCUGUUGACAGACUUCUGAAAUCUUUUCCUACAGGCGACUAGCUAGAAAGUUUGUCUUUAUAGUUUAAAAAAACCACAAGGCCCCUUUUGGAAUACACUACUUGAGCAGUAUUCUGUUGUUUUAGAAGCAACGCAGUAUGAAGAGACUGCUUUGAAAUAGUGUAAUGCGGGGUUGGAAAUCCUGGUUCCGUGGUGGGCACCACGGCUGUCAUGCCAUGCUGUGCUGACCUCAAGCAAGCCAUUUCCGGUCUUUCUUUCUGCAGAAUGGGUGUAAUAAUGGCCUACUUGACAAGAUUGUUGUAAGAAUUCAGUGAGGUAAUGCAUGUGAAAGUAGGAAGCAAAGAUGAUUCUUCAGGAGACCUGUACGUUGCAACACGAAAACUUCUAAGGCACUAGGAGUCUCUACCACAGGAGUAAAUGGGGAUGGUUUCACACUUGCUCAUCUACUGCUGUGGCCAUCUCCAUAUCUGCAAGUUGUGUUACAAAGGCACCAAAAUCAUCGUAGCAUUUGUUACCCCUGGAAGUGUGAUGAGAGAAAAAACAUUGCAGGGAGAGAGAGAAUGUGAUUUACCUCUGCCUCAUGCUUGUGAUGGGUUCCUAAUGGAUAGAUAAAUGGAUGUAGACAAAUGAUACUGGGAAUAGAAUAUUAUUUUGGGAGGCAUUUGACACAGCUCAUAAUAACUCUGAGACCUUAGUAGUAUGAUGGUCUAUGAAAGGGUUAACAUGUAGCACGUAUAGAUAAAACACUCAAAACAACAACAUUAAGAACGCAGAGGGGAGUGACUAGAAAGGUGUGUAAGAGACGUUUCUUGGGACUGAGUAAAUCCCAUCAGAAUUUACGUUUCAGCAUAGAAUGUGAUCACAUAGCUCAGACUGAGGCAUCUCAAGUUUACAAGGCAAUAAAGGUUAUGGCUAGAGCUGGGUGUGUAGCACUGAGGGCAUUUAGCUGAGUGUGCUUCAUUUGUGAUCUUCCCUAACUUAAGAUAGCCCCUCCGAUGGAAUCAUUUCCUGGGCUCCACCUCCCAGUAUAAGCUUUCCAGUGAGACCUGUGUACAGAGUGAUGAAAGCAGGAGUAAGGGGGUGGUUUCCAGUGUUCUGGUUCUAGUCUCCUUCUGUGGCCCAAGGCUGCCCAGGUACGAGUCCUCCUGAGAUGCUCUAUCUCUUUGGGCUGCCUUCUGCUAGUAGCAACACUCAGAUCUUGCAAAUGGUGUUGAAGGAGCUCUAUAGCAACAGGGGUGGGGGGGGGUGGGGAGUACUUAUGUUCUUCCUUUCACCCUUCUUAACGGAUGCAGCCAUUUUGAAAUUUAUUUUUGGCUGGAAAAAGAACAUGGACCAAGGCACUGAGGAUUUUGUCUUGUUUUGGGGGGCAAUGGGGAGGCCCUGAAAAUACUUAAGGAAAACCUGGGGCCCUCCAUUGGAGAAAAUAAACUCUCUGAAUGGGGAGGCAUGGUUAAAGGAUUUUCUUAUUUUUAUAAAUCUGUUUCCUCAGUGGAUAUGGUAAUGAGGUGUUUCUUGAAUCGAGGUAAAUGCACCUCUUAAGAUGGGUGGCCUCUGUAGUCUUUUCAGGCCUCCUGGGCUGUAGGAGCAGGGCCCUGGGCUCUGUCAGCAUUGAGCCAGAGUCUAAUCCCUGGUCUGAGGCGAGAAGCCAAAGCCACAGCCUUCUUGCCUGAAGGCAAGGGCAGUACCAACAGAGCCAUAUGGAGAUUAAUGAAGAACAAGGUCAUUAGUCUCAUUGUUUAUCCAGUUACUCACAGCACAGAUUUGUGUAAAUUUCAGCUACCGUGGUUGCAGUCUGUCUUUGAUGUGUGUAAUCUAUACAUUUUAGUGCCCCAGGAAAGCGCCUGACAGGAACUACAUCCGAUGCCCAGAAAACACAUCUACACAGGCACAGUGCAGCAUGUUGAACAAUUUUCUAGUGAGUUCCAUCAAAGUAAAUAAACCAACCUGGAUGGUCAGGA
RNAcentral lists this long non-coding RNA (2618 nucleotides) under Lynx pardinus (Iberian lynx). Lineage: Eukaryota; Metazoa; Chordata; Mammalia; Carnivora; Felidae. The record is from RNAcentral.